GAUGAACGCUAGCGGGAGGCCUAACACAUGCAAGCCGAGCGGUAGAGUUUCUUCGGAAACUUGAGAGCGGCGCACGGGUGCGUAACACGUGUGCAACCUACCUUUAUCUGGGGGAUAGCCUUUCGAAAGGAAGAUUAAUACCCCAUAAUAUAAUGAUUGGCAUCAAUUAUUAUUGAAAACUACGGUGGAUAGAGAUGGGCACGCGCAAGAUUAGAUAGUUGGUGAGGUAACGGCUCACCAAGUCAAUGAUCUUUAGGGGUCCUGAGAGGGGGAUCCCCCACACGGGUACUGGGACACGGACCAGACAUCUACGGGAGGCAGCAGUGAGGAAUAUUGGACAAUGGGUGAGAGCCUGAUCCAGCCAUCCCGCGUGAAGGAUGACGGUCCUAUGGAUUGUAAACUUCUGUUGUACAGGGAUAAACCUACCCUCGUGAGGGUAGCUGAAGGUACUGUACGAAUAAGCACCGGCUAACUCCGUG
RNAcentral lists this ribosomal RNA (479 nucleotides) under uncultured bacterium. RNAcentral describes it as "partial 16S ribosomal RNA". It matches the Rfam family "Bacterial small subunit ribosomal RNA", at positions 28 to 507 of the family's 1533-position model. The record is from RNAcentral.